Molecule: unclassified non-coding RNA, 433 nt
Filed under: soil metagenome
Description: partial contains 5.8S ribosomal RNA, internal transcribed spacer 2, and large subunit ribosomal RNA
Rfam family: 5.8S ribosomal RNA (bases 1-120)
Source: RNAcentral
GAUGAAGAACGUAGCGAAAUGCGAUACGUAAUGUGAAUUGCAGAAUUCAGUGAAUCAUCGAAUCUUUGAACGCAUAUUGCGCUCUCUGGUAUUCCGGAGAGCAUGCUUGUUUGAGUAUCAGUAAACACCUCAACUCCCUUUUCUUUUUUGAAAUGGGAGCUGGACUUGAGUGAUCCCAACACUUUUCUCACUGGAAAGUGGCGGGUCACUUGAAAUGCAGGUGCAGCUGGACUUUUCUCUGAGCUAUAAGCAUAUCUAUUUAGUCUGCCUAAAAAACAGAUUAUUACCUUUGCUGCAGCUAACAUAAAGGAGAUGAGUUCUUGUGCUGACUGAUGCAGGAUUCACAGAGACAGCUUUGCGGCUGACUCUGUAAACUCGAUCUCAAAUCAAGUAAGACUACCCGCUGAACUUAAGCAUAUCAAUAAGCGGAGGA